This 469-nucleotide ribosomal RNA is filed under the name uncultured bacterium. RNAcentral describes it as "partial 16S ribosomal RNA". It matches the Rfam family "Bacterial small subunit ribosomal RNA", at positions 28 to 507 of the family's 1533-position model. The record is from RNAcentral.
GACGAACGCUGGCGGCGUGCUUAACACAUGCAAGUCGAACGGAAAGGCCCUGCUUGCAGGGUGCUCGAGUGGCGAACGGGUGAGUAACACGUGGGUGAUCUGCCCCUUACUUUGGGAUAAGCCUGGGAAACUGGGUCUAAUACUGGAUAGGACCAUGCUGUAGGUGGUGUGGUGGAAAGAUUAGUUUCGGUAAGGGAUGAGCUCGCGGCCUAUCAGCUUGUUGGUGGGGUAAUGGCCUACCAAGGCGUCGACGGGUAGCCGGCCUGAGAGGGUGGACGGCCACAUUGGGACUGAGAUACGGCCCAGACUCCUACGGGAGGCAGCAGAGGGGAAUAUUGCACAAUGGGCGCAAGCCUGAUGCAGCGACGCCGCGUGGGGGAUGACGGCCUUCGGGUUGUAAACUCCUUUCAGCCAUGACGAAGCCCUUGUGGUGAGGGUAGUGGUAGAAGAAGCACCGGCUAACUACGUG